This 67-nucleotide transfer RNA is filed under the name Paralvinella sulfincola. RNAcentral describes it as "tRNA-Asp". Lineage: Eukaryota; Metazoa; Annelida; Polychaeta; Terebellida; Alvinellidae. The record is from RNAcentral.
GAGGUGCUAGUUUAAUUAAGAACAUAGGCAUGUCAUCCCUAAAAUACCAAAGCAUUGGUGCGCCUCU